Lepidothrix coronata (blue-crowned manakin) is the source of this 443-nucleotide long non-coding RNA. RefSeq lists it as uncharacterized. Lineage: Eukaryota; Metazoa; Chordata; Aves; Passeriformes; Pipridae. The record is from RefSeq and is a predicted model, not a curated record. The transcript has 3 exons.
GGAAGGGGAAAUGAAUGCAUUUGUCAACAUACCACAGAGCUGUAUAUAGGCAGGGUUAUAUCCCUGCUGGCAAUCUCCCAUAUGGGAGAUUCCUAAGCUCCCAGGAAGGCUAAAAGUUUCAUUUAAGAACAGGUGGCAGCAGAGAUCAGGGCUGGAUGGAAUCUGCAGGAUCACUGAAUCCAGUGCCCAUCGACUGCAACACAGACUUCAAUCAAAGGGCCAUUUUUCAUGCCAGGAAAAGACCAAUUGUGAUACUUCUAAUGCAGCAGAGGAAAAAUUAGGAGAAAUUCAGAACAUUUCCAAUUCUUGCAGUCACAGGAUAUCCCAUGGAUGCUUCAAGAAACCCUAGAGUUCAUCAAGAAAAGAAGAAUCACAACAUCAUCUGAAGAAUGUAGAAUUUGUACGUCCAGUUUCCUAUUUUAUCAUUCACAGGCUCAUACACA